UAACAGGUGACGGGGAAUCAGGGUUCGAUUCCGGAGAGGGAGCCUGAGAAACGGCUACCACAUCCAAGGAAGGCAGCAGGCACGCAAAUUACCCACUCUCAGAACGAGGAGGUAGUGACGAAAAAUAACAAUACGGGACUAUUAAUAGGCCCCGUAAUUGGAAUGAGUACAAUAUAAAUCCUUUAACGAGGAUCUAUUGGAGGGCAAGUCUGGUGCCAGCAGCCGCGGUAAUUCCAGCUCCAAUAGCGUAUAUUAAAGUUGCUGCGUUUAAAAAGCUCGUAGUUGUAUCUCAGUUCAUGUCAAUUGGUCAAUCACUUAAUAGUGAUUACUUUUUGACUGAACAUUAGACCGAUUUGUUUUCUGAUGCUCUUUACCGAGUGUU
RNAcentral lists this ribosomal RNA (382 nucleotides) under Demodex folliculorum. Its description in RNAcentral is "SSU rRNA". It matches the Rfam family "Eukaryotic small subunit ribosomal RNA", at positions 353 to 733 of the family's 1831-position model. Lineage: Eukaryota; Metazoa; Arthropoda; Arachnida; Trombidiformes; Demodicidae. The record is from RNAcentral.